Long non-coding RNA from Loxodonta africana (African savanna elephant), 11152 nucleotides. RefSeq lists it as uncharacterized. The transcript has 6 exons. NCBI's taxonomy places the organism in Eukaryota, Metazoa, Chordata, Mammalia, Proboscidea, Elephantidae. The record is from RefSeq and is a predicted model, not a curated record.
UGCGCCACUCGCGCGGGGGCUGGGGAAGGGGCGGGGCGCCGAGGGGAGCCCGGGCUGAACCACUUGGCGAGGCGGAGGGAGGGCGCGGAGGUAACGCGCCUCUCCUGCGGACAUUUACCUAUCUUAGGCAGUUAUAACAAAGGUAUGUGUAAUGCAGUGGUCAAGAGUAGGGGUUUUGGAGUCAUGCCUCUGCCACUUUUUAACUGUAUUGAGCCAACAACCUUUCCACACCUCCGGGUCCUCAGUCUUCAAAAUUGGAAUAAUAGUACCAUCACAGGAUUAUUUCAAGAAUUAAAUUGUGUGCAGCACCUAGCACAUCGUAAGUAUUAAAAAAAAAAAGUUAACUGUAAGAAAAUUAGUUGUAUUUUUUGCAAAUAACCCUUCAGUGGCUUCCACUUGCUACUAGUAUAAAGACUAUGCAAAGUCCUUACAUAGUCUUAAAGGCCAUUGUGUGAUUUGGCUGCUACUUCUUUGAUUGCAGAGCCCUGGUGGCACAGUGGUUAAGUGCUACCACUGUACAGUUCGAAUCCACCAGUCUCUUCUUUGAAACCCUAUGGGGCUGUUCUACUCUAUCCUAUAGUGUUGCUCUGAGUCGGAAUUUACUCGGUGGCAACGGGUAUGGUUUUCUUUAAUCACAUCUGUGCCACUCUCCCCCUCUUUCUGUCUUGCACUCUGGAUUUCUUUUAGUAACAGGUCAGUUUGUUUAGUAUCAAGGCAAAUCAGGACACAAUAUUGAUUAUGUAUUGUUUGCACUUUCCCUUCUUCCUUUCCACAAAUAUUUAUGAGCACCUUUGUGAGGCCAGCUCUGGGAUUGCUGCUAUGACGGACAUGGUUCCUUCCUGUGAGGGGGCGCUCUAAGUAAGAGAAGAUACUUAGCUAACACCUUCUUAUCCUUCCCAUCCCAGCUCAGCUGCCACUUCCUGAACGAAACCUUCAUCUGCAGAGAUUCUCAAAGGGUCUUCUAUUCUCCUUCAUGGCACUAAGUACAGUUUGAAACUACAGAUUUGGUGAUUAUUUUAUGGACGUUUCUAACCCCCAAUUAGGCUUUGCAAGCUUCAUGAAGAUGAGAAGGUGGUCUCUUUUGCUGGAGCUUUGUUUGCUAGGUGCCUGGCAGAGAACCUAGAACCUAGUGAGGUGCUUAACGUUCAAGGAGAAGGAGAGAGAAGGGAGGGAGGAAGGGACGGAAACAAAAGGAAAGAAUGAAUAUUAAAGAUGGAAGAAGGAAGUGGGGGAAAUGAGAGACCCUGGCGAUUAUGCAAAAUUAAUGAAAAGAGGCCCUACUUUGUUUUAAAUCAAAGCAUUAUACAGAAUAACACUGAGAGCCCUUUACUAACAGGGAAGCACAUGGCCAUUCUGUUCUAAAAAGGAAUAGAUUUCUGAUUUCAUAGGUUAGUGCCCUAAGGGUAAGAAAAGCCAGGAUAGUUAUUGGUUUAUUUCAUACUUAACAUUAAUGAGAUUUGUUUAAUGCAAUUUCCCAACCCAUAGUACAUUUAACAGUAGCAAUAGUCCUAUGAAAGAAGAAAGUUGGGACUGGAUAAAUUGGUGUUUGUGAAUUAGGCAGCAAAUGUAACAACUCUGGUCAAGGAGAGAGUUCCAGUGAGGGUACGUUUGCACUGUGAGAAGCUGUUGAUUUGGCCAGAGAAAAAAGGAAGGUGAUUCCAGGUAUAGCAAAGAGCAGUAAUAAAGGUGUGGAGAUGUUGCGGAGGAAGCUCUUAGACUGUGAAUUUAAGAUAGUACUUUCUUUGUGAAGACAGGCCAAGAAGAGAGAAAUCUAGGGCAGAUGCCUCCAAAAUUGUGCCAGUCCUUUGGGCCAAAACUCAGACAUCUCAGAAGGCCUUGGAAACAAACCAGCUCUAAUGAGAUCAGAAACAAGUACUACGUGAAUUCCCUUAUUUUUAGGCUUCUUGUAUUUUGUUUUUAUUUUUCUCGCCUGAUAAUUAGGUAAAUCUUUUGACAAUCCCAGUAAAGAAGUGAGGGAUGGAAGAAUGCAAAAGGUACAGGGGAGAAGACAUUGAAGGAGACAGUAAUAGAAUGAUAAUAGCUAGAGUUUUAUUUGUUAGACGCUGUUCUAAUAUCUUCUACUGAGAACAACUCUUGUGAGAUAGAUAAUGCUGUUUUUCAGGUGAACCAACUGACCAAAAAAAAAAAAAAACAAAACCCAUUGCAAUCAAGUCAAAUCUGACUCUUGGUGACCCUAUAGGACAGAGUAGAACUGCCCCUUAGGGUUUCCAAGACUGUAAUCUGUAGAAAAGCAGACUGCCACAUCUUUCUCCCAUGGAGUGGCUGGUGGGUUCAAACUGCCAAGCUGCCUAACCACUGCCCCACCAGGGCUCCUUGAAGCAAUUGAUACGUAAUUUGUCCAGAUUGCAAUCAAGUCAGUAGUGGAGCUGGGCCUGAGCUGUAAAUUCAUGCUUCUUGUUACAGGUAUGAAUAAACACAUCAAUGAAUUCCUCACAUUCCUUAAGGUAAUUAAUAAUAGUAGUCUGGUUUGUACCCUUCUGUAUGUUUUUCUAUGAACACACAUAAACAGACCUACAUUUCCCUGAACCCUGGAAUUUUCUUGUCAUAGUUUUCAUGGCCACCUCUCCAGGACGCUACUUCAGAUAUAAAUCAUUCUUAAUGGCUGAAAAAUACACUAUAGUAUGACUGUCAUACAGCUCAUUCAGCUGUUGCUUUAUAGAGAUUCAAGUUGUUUCUCAUGUUUGCCCUACAUGCAGUGCUGAACCUUCGAACACAUGGUUUCGUGAACCAAUGUUUUCAUUUAUGUGAAAAAGAUUUUCCAAAGUGGAAUUGCUGAGACAAGGGAUAUAUGCAUACUUUAGUAGUUACAGUCAGGUUACUUUCCAAAUGGCUGGCAAAACUCACAUUCCUAUCAGCAGGGCAUGAGAAUAUCAUUUCCUGACUCUCUCACCAGUACUGGGUGUUAUCACUCCUUUUAAUUUUUGUUAGUAUGACAUGUGAAAAAUGGUAAGACAGUAUUUUUAUAAUCUUGGGAGACCUUUACAAGCAAGAUAGAACAUCCAGAAGCCACAAAGGAAAAGAUUGAUAGACUUAGCUACAUAAAAAUGAAAAAUUACUGCAGAAGUAAAAUCAAAAGACAAAGAAUUUGUAACACAUAUGACAGACAAAUGGCUAGUACAAAUUGAUAAGAAAAUGAAAAAAAGCCCAAUGAAAACUAGAAAAAAGUGGGUAAUUCUUCAAGGAGGCACUGCACAUGGAAAAUAAACGUAUGAAAAGGUGUUCAACUCCAUUGAUAGGGAAAUGAACUCAUCCGUUUGUAAGGUAAGUUUGGGAAAAAAAGGAGAGGGGCUGUGGAAAUGGGAGGGAGUAGGAGAUAAAAUCUGAAAAAUAGAAUACUUUCGUUCCCCACCCCCAUCCCCCUGCCCGCAUUAGUGUAGCCUCUGGUGGAGCCUCCAUGAUUCUGAUGAUGUUUUCCAAAAUUUCUAAUGGUACAAUUCGUGGGGAUGUACAAUGUCCAAGUACUAGAAUUCAAAUCUCUCUCCUACCUAAGUGUGGAACUCUCUGGAUUGAGCAAAGCCUACUUGAGGCCAAAGGCUGUAAUGGCUCAACGAUCAGUGACUCUUGUUAGGAUUUAUGUUCACCAUUCCUGUUGCUGCCUAGUGCAGCCACUUGGCUAUUGUCUAAAGCUAUGGCUCUAUUCACUUGAAUCACCAAUAUCUUUGUUGGAAUAAAUUGAGAUUGUUUCUGUUAUCGUGUAGGUAUCACACCUGCUGUCUUCACUUAUCUGAAGGCUGGUGACAUUCUCUAGAGAUAACCUAUCAGUUGCGGGCCUACCUCUUUAGACCCUCCCCCAGCCCUUCAAGAAGGUACACCCUCACCUCUUGAGACUGGUCUUUGUUUAGAUUUGCCCUGAACCCAGAGCUGAACCGCUGGAUGAUUCCUGACAUGGUCCUAUGAGUGCACUCACUUGCUUUUGCUCCCAUCUCCAGCUUCGCUUGCUUGGUACCUGGGCCUCUCUGACCUACCUUUUCAUCUCUGAUUCUUUUUCUCCUUUCUUUUGACUCAGUGCAUUUGGACCCACCUCCUGCUGACUCAUUUCUGGCUUGGCCUCAGGAUCCUUCCACUGAAAACUCCUCCACAGGUAGCCAAAGACCCAGCCCCAUACCCCUGGGUAACUGUGGCUGUUGGGGUAGUAUCAGGAAGGAAUUCCUGUAUUUUUUUUUUUUUUUGCCUUGCCCAACUCUGCUGUGUGGGACGACACAGCUGCCCUGAGGACAGAGAAUGUUGAUUUGGUGGGGCAGCUGGGAGCAUCUGGCCCUCCCUUCAGUGGUGAUGCCUUCAGAAUUCAUGGAGACCUUACAUUCUUGCCAGAGCCUGUCAUACAGAGGCCUGCUGUCUAACCUGCCAAUCUUGGAUUCACCAGCCCCUGCAGCUACAUGAUGUACAGUGGAGUUUUCCAGCAAGGAACUAAGGAAGACCUCCAGUCAAAAGCCAGCAAGGAACUGAGACCCUCAGUUGAACAACCCAUGAGGAACUGAAUCCUGCCAACGACUACAUGAGUAAGCUUGGAAUAGGAUCCUUCCUCAGUAGGAGGAAGGAUGAGACCUCAGCCCCAACCAACACCUUGAUUGGAGCCUGUGAGAGACUACCAGCCAGAGGAGACAUCUAAGCUACACCUAGAUUCCUAACCUAUGGGAAUAUGUGCCCAGGCCAGAACUGGGAGUGGCGAAGGGGCUGGAAUCAGGACUCAGAGUUCCUUAGCCAACUAUUCAGGACCUAGACUUCCUUGGCCAACUAUUUCAAGCAAACCAGGAAAUCUGGAGAUCGGCAGUUCCAGAGUGUAGCUCAGCAGUUCCACAAAAUCCGGAUGUUGAUUUGGCAUCUCUGCAAUUUUCAUGGUCUUCCCCUCAUUGUCACAAGAUGGCUGCAUCAGCUCCAGGCAUCACAUCCUCACAUGAUCACAUCCAAAGGCAGGAAGCAGCAGAAUGACAAGGAAGGCAUGCAAGGGCAGUUAUUAGCAUACUUCUUUAAAUUUAUCAGAAAGAGAAAAAUCUUUUCUAAAAUCCACUAAGAAGAUAUCCUCUCAAGCUCAUUGGUCAGCACUGGUUCAUAGGUCACGUGACCACCCCUGGCUGCAAUGGAGGUGGGUAAGAGAGAAGGUAGGAAGUGGCUGUUGCAUAGUCAAUGUGAGUGCUGCCACAUACCCAAAGAUGGCUAUGGCUAGAUGGUGGAUUGGGGCCGUGAAGUGCUGGAGACCAACUGUACUGCACUGCCUGGUGACUGUGCCCAUCUCUUUCCUACUCAGCAGUCACUGAUGUCACAUUGGUACCUUGAGACUGCCCAUGGUGGGAGCAUUUACACGACACAAAUGGGCAAACACUAAGAAUCACAGCUUUCUUUUUGAGAGCAGUUUCAUCACCACAUCACUGAUUAGAGGUGAUUUUUAUUAUUUUACUUAUACAUUUCCGUGUUUUCUAUAAUAAACGGAUUAAUUUUAUAAUCAGAAAAAACAAGUUUCUUUUAAAAGAAGAGGACCACUUAAGCUUAAGGUAAACAGUAGAGUUAAAGAAAAAAUGAUAUUUUGAGUUCAGGCAAAUCCAGACCCCAGAUCAGAGGUAGCUGCAGAGUCAGCUGGUAACUCAGCCUGCACAGCUAAAUCCCCCUUGAGGACCACAGGAGCUAGCCUUCUUAGUUACUAGGGAUAGGCGCCGAGGCAGAGACUCCUGGGCCUCUUCUGAUUUAGGGCGGGCCCUUUAUUAAAUAAGAGGAGUGCUGGUGGUGCAGUGGUUAAAGUGCUUGGCUACUAACCGAAAGAAAAGGUAGGCGGUUUGAACCCACCAGUUGCUCUGCGGGAGAAAGGUAUGGCAGUCUGCUUCCAUACAGAUUACAGCCUUGGAAGCCCUGUGGGGCAGUUCUCCUCUGUUCUAUAGGGUUGCUAUGAGUUGGAAUCCACUUGAUGGCAGCGGGUUUGGUUUUGGUUUUUAUUAAACAAUAAAGAAUGCCAGAUCAGGAUUAGAAAAUUGUGAUAUAUUUUAAAUGUUCACCUGUAACCAACUAAUGCUUUAACAUAAAAGAGUGCAUAAAAAAAAUUUUUUUUAAGUGCAAUAAAAUAUAGUACUUUUCGCAGAAUUUUUAAUGAAAUAUGAAUCCAUUGUGCAUUACGGCAGUGGGGCCGGUCAAUAGGACACAAGUUCAAAUCUGACUGAUAAAUGUCUUUUUCUCAUUCCUCUCUGGGUCUCUUUGUCACUGUAUGUAUAAUCCUAUCUAGAGAAAACAUCAAGAGUCCAGAGACCUGUUGUGAAAGUGAAGCCCAAGCCCGGCUGCCCUCCUGCCCUGACUCUGUACCCCCCUCCAUUAUAGGUCCCGGAUGGAAGCCUUUUGGGACCUGAGAGAGAACACAGUCUGUUUGAGAAUCUGGUCAGAAUGACCCCUCCUGAAAAUGUAUUUUGGUUUCAUGGAUGGACAGAAAUGUCCCCAAAUGUCCAAUUCUCAGUUUUUUGCUCUUUUCUCUUUCCAUGUUAUUGGAGAUCUCCUCUACUUUCUAGAUUCAGCAAUUACAUCUCUACGGAUGUCCCUAAAAUCCUUGCCAUACAGAUAUGGCCUACUCAGCCUAAAAUAUUUGCUAAGAGACCCUUUACAAAAAAGUGUGGUGACCUGUGACUUAAACCGACAAAAUAUUUGCUAUUUACUUAAGAAAUCUGGAGAUGGGCAGUUCCAGAGUGUAGUUAAGCAGUUCUACAAAGUCCAAGUGUUGAAAAGCACAUGCAAUUCUCAUGGUCUUCACCUCAUACUUAAAAGACAGCUGCAUCGAUGACAUCUCAUGUGAAUUCUCUCCUAAACUCUUAAGGGACACUUGCCUGAGGGACAGUUCCGCUUCCAUGUCUGACCAAAGUUGACCCCAAAGCUCAAUGCUUCAGAAUGACUCACCACUCUUCCAUCUCCCAGACUUGAAACCUAGAAUGAUUUUCAACUUCUACCCGUACCUUGAUGUAGAUACCUAGUUAGUUACCGUGUCAUAGUCACCCACUGUUGGUGAUGGCUUUCACAGUCACCCGUUGAUUCUGGCUGUAAGCUGGCAGUGAGUGUACAACCAUCACACAGAUUGGGCAGAAUGGAACCCCACCAGGAAGAGGCCAGUGUCUGCUGUACAGAAGUCUGUUACAGACAUCAAAACUAGUCAGUUUUGGGGCCAACUGGAGCAAUGAGAAGGGAUGGGGAGCUUGUGCUCAAGGUCAAUGCCAGAUUCCCAGGGUAAGAUGGGAUCAAACAGCAGGGCAAGCAUGAAAAUCGAAGAUACGAGCCAAGUGCAGACCUCAGGUCUGAAUUGGUAGGGGCUGAUGAGGGGCUCCAUUCAUCCUUGCAGCAACCCAUUAGCUAGAUGGUGACAUUUGGCAUUUGUUCAGUGCCUUUGGUUUUUGUUUUGUUUCAUGUGAUACUUUUAGCAAUCCAGUGAAGUGGUCAGAGCCAUAUCUGGCGAUGAGAAAACUGGGGCCAAGAGAGAUCAAACUGACUACCCGAAGUCACCCAAGUCCUCAUUAGUCAAAUUGCGGCCCAUCAGUAUCAGCUGGUAGCUUGCUAGGAAUGUAGGAUCUUUGGCCCAUCCCAGGCCCACUGGACCAGAAUCUGCAUUUUAACAAGAAUCCCAGGAGAUUCAUGGACACAUUAAAGCUGCUCUAGAUGGUUGGCAGCUCAAACCCACCCAGUGGCACCACAGAAGAAAAUGCCUAGCCAUCUGCUUCCGUUAAGAUUACAGCCAAGAGGCCCCAGAUAAAUAAGGCAUUACUGAAAAAGAAGAACAAAGUGGGAGGCCUCACUCUACCUGUUAGAACCUAUUAUAUUGCCACAGUAGUCAAAACAGCCUGGUACUGGUAUAACAACAGGUACAUAGACCAAUGGAACAGAAUUGAGAAUCCAGACAUAGAUCCACCCACAUAUGAGCAAUUGAUAUCUGACAAAGGCCCCAAAACAGUUAAAUGGGGAAAAGACAGUCUUUUUAACAUAUGGUGCUGGCAUAACUGGAUAUCCAUCUCCAAAAAAAUGAAACAAGACCCAUACCUCCAUGCACAAAAGCAAGCUCAAAAUGGAUCAAAGACCUAAAUAUAAAAUCUAAAACAAUGAAGAUCAUGGAAGAAAAAAUAGGGACAAUGUUAGGAGCCUUAAUACAUGGCAUAAACAGUAUACAAAACAUUAAGAAUGCAGAAGAAAAACUAGAUAACUGGGAGUUCCUAAAAAUCAAACACCUAUGCUCAUCCAAAGACUUCACCAGAAGAGUAAAAAGACUAGCUACAGACUGGGAAAAAGUUUUUAGCUAUGACAUUUCUGAUCAGCGCCUGAUCUCUAAAAUCUACAUGAUACUGCAAAAACUCAACUACAAAAAGACAACCCAAUUAAAAAAUGGGCAAAAGAUAUGAACAGACACUUCACUAAAGAAGACAUUCAGGUAGCUAACAGAUACAUGAGGAAAUGCUCACAAUCAUUAGCCAUUAGAGAAAUGCAAAUUAAAAGUACAAUGAGAUUCCAUCUCACUCCAACAAGGCUGGCAUUAAUUUUUUUUUUUUUUUUUUGGAGUCCACAACAUUUAUUUUCUCCCAAGGUUUACAAUUAUGGGGCAGAGGGAAGAAGGCUGAAGGCAAAGGUGGAAGUUACUUUGCAGGUCAUGAGUCAGAUGGGGAAAUAAAGGGUCAUGCCUCUCCUACAGGAAUGCUGAAACCUGAAAGGAUCCCUGAGGACAUGUGGUGCACACUGGGGCCCCUGUAGCAUUUGCCACUGAAGAGAUGCUUGAACAAUGACAGCCAAGCAGGCAGAGUGGGGAAGAGUGAACCAGCAAGUACACUCAGCCCAGUGUUGUCUGUGAGUUGUCCUUGCUUGGCUCUGAACCAGUCAUCUUCUUUGAGAGGUGCCCACCUUGGAAAAUCUGAGUGGUCCUUUAUAGCAGUGGUUCUUAAAAGUUAGGAGUUUUUGGGUGGUCCAAACAGUCAACUCGCUUGGUGGCUAACUGAAAGUUUGGCAGUUGGAGUCCUUCCAGAGGCUCCUCAGGAGACAGUUCUGGUGAUCUACAUCUGAAAUAUCACCCAUGGGGUCACCAUGAGUUGGAAUCAACUCAGCAGCAAUGGGUUUGGUUCUUAAAAGUUAAGCACGUACCAGAAUCUCCCAGAGGGCUUGUUCAAACACACAUUUCUGGGCCCCAUUCCUAAAGGGCUGGCAUUAAUUAAAAAAACACAAAAUAAAUGUUGGAGAGGUUGUGGAGAAACUGGAACACUUAUACACUGCUGGUGGGAAUGUAAAAUGGCGCAACCACUUUGGAAAUCAAUUCAGUGCUUCCUUAAAAAGCUAGAAAUAGAACUACCAUAUGAUCCAGCAAUCCCACUCCUUGGAAUAUAUCCUAGAGAAAUAAGAACCUUUACAUGAACAGAUACACGCACACCCAUGUUCACUGCAGCACUGUUUACAAUAGCAAAAAGAUGGAAGCAACCAAGGUGCCCAUGAAUGGAUGAAUGGGUAAAUAAAUUAUGGUACAUUCACACAAUGGAAUGCUACGCAUCGAUAAAAAACAGUUAUGAAUCAGUGAAACAUUUCACAACAUGGAGGAAUCUGGAAGGCAUCUGGCUGAGUGAAAUUAGUAAGCUGCAAAAGGACAAAUAUUGUAUAAAACCACUAUUAUAAGAACUCAAGGAAUAGUUUAAACUGAGAAGAAAAUAUUCUUUGAUGGUUACGAGUGGGGAGGGAGGGAGAAGGGUAUUCACUAAUUAGUAGAUAAGAACUACUUUAGGUGAAGGGAAAGACAACACACAAUACAGGAGAGGGCAGCACAACUGGACUAAACCAAAAGCAGAGAAGUUUCCUGAAUAAACUGAAUGCUUGGAAGGCCAGCAUAGCAGGGGCGGGGGUUUGGGGACCAUGGUUUCAGGGGACAUCUAAGUCCAUUGGCAUAAUGAAAUCUAUUAAGAAAACAUUCUGCAUCCCACUUUGGAGAGUGGCAUCUGGGGUCUUAAAUGCUAGCAAGCGGCCACCUAAGAUGCAUCAAUUGGUCUCAACCCACCUGGAUCAAAGGAGAAUGAAGAACACCAAGGACACAAGGUAAUUAUGAGCCCAAGAUACAGAAAGGACCAUAUAAACCAGAGACUACAUCAGCCUGAGACAAGAACUAGAUGGUGCCUGGCCACAACCGAUGACUGCCCUGACAGGGAACAUAACAGAGAACCCCUGAGGGGGCAGGAGAGCAGUGGCACGCAGACCCCAAAUUCUCAUAAAAAGACCAGACUUAAUGGUCUGACUGAGACUAGAAGGACCUCGGAAGUCAUGGUCCCCAGACCUUCUGUUAGCCCAAGACAGGAACCAUUCCCAAAGCCAACUCUCAGACAGGGAUUGGACUGGACAAUGGGAUAGAAAAAGAUGCUGAUGAAGAAUGAGCUUCUUAGAUCAAGUAGACACUUGAGACUAUGUUGGCAUCUCCUAUCUGGAGGGGAGAUGAGAGGGCAGAGGGGGUUAGAAGCUGGCAGAAUGGACACGAAAAGAGAGAGUGGAGGGAAGGAGCGGGCUGUCUCAUUAGGGGGAAAGUGAUUAGGAGUAUGUAAAAAAAAAAAAGCAUAUAUAAAUUUUGUGUGACUGACUGACUUGAUUUGUAAACUUUCACUUAAAGCACAAAAAAAAAAAAAAAGAUUACAGCCAAAAAACCACAUGGAGGAGUUCUACUGUGCAGCACAUGGGGUCACCAUGAGUCAGAAUCGACUUGAUGACAGCUGAGACAGAGCCACCACAGUGUUGUAUUAAAAAAUUGUUUCCUUUGCUGGGCUCCACUCCACCCAGCUUUGCAUUUGAAUCCUGCUUUUGCUUGGAGGUUAUAUGUAAACACCAUUGCGCCUGCAUAAUAUGUUUAAGAAUGUUGCUGACAUAACUUGUAUGAACUCCCUACUUGUAAACCCCUUUAAAUGUUACUUGCCUGCCCAUCCUUGGUGAGCAGUCUUGGCAGCAACAGCUCCCUAUGACUCCUUUCCUUGUACAACGAAAUAAAGGUACCUUUCUUGUUCUCCCACCCUGGUCUCUUUUCUAUUGCCCAACACGUCAUGCGGAGUGAAAACCUGGGGUUUCCACCCAGUAACACAACCAACAAUGACAGGUAGCUAUUGGAGGAGUCUGUACUAGAAACCAGCCUCACAUGGCUAAGUAAAAAAAAAAAAUUUUUUUUUUUUUU